RNAcentral lists this ribosomal RNA (425 nucleotides) under uncultured Clostridiaceae bacterium. RNAcentral describes it as "bacterial SSU rRNA". It matches the Rfam family "Bacterial small subunit ribosomal RNA", at positions 354 to 796 of the family's 1533-position model. The record is from RNAcentral. Lineage: Bacteria; Bacillati; Bacillota; Clostridia; Eubacteriales; Clostridiaceae.
GUGGGGAAUAUUGCACAAUGGGGGAAACCCUGAUGCAGCAACGCCGCGUGAGUGAUGACGGUCUUCGGAUUGUAAAGCUCUGUCUUUAGGGACGAUAAUGACGGUACCUAAGGAGGAAGCCACGGCUAACUACGUGCCAGCAGCCGCGGUAAUACGUAGGUGGCAAGCGUUGUCCGGAUUUACUGGGCGUAAAGGGAGCGUAGGUGGAUAUUUAAGUGGGAUGUGAAAUACCCGGGCUUAACCUGGGUGCUGCAUUCCAAACUGGAUAUCUAGAGUGCAGGAGAGGGAAGGAGAAUUCCUAGUGUAGCGGUGAAAUGCGUAGAGAUUAGGAAGAAUACCAGUGGCGAAGGCGCCUUUCUGGACUGUAACUGACACUGAGGCUCGAAAGCGUGGGGAGCAAACAGGAUUAGAAACCCGAGUAGUCC